Molecule: ribosomal RNA, 172 nt
Filed under: uncultured bacterium
Lineage: Bacteria
Description: partial 16S ribosomal RNA
Rfam family: Bacterial small subunit ribosomal RNA
Source: RNAcentral
ACUCCUACGGGAGGCUGCAGUGGGGAAUAUUGCACAAUGGGCGAAAGCCUGAUGCAGCAACGCCGCGUGAGCGAUGAAGGCCUUCGGGUCGUAAAGCUCUGUCCUCAAGGAAGAUAAUGACGGUACUUGAGGAGGAAGCCCCGGCUAACUACGUGCCAGCAGCCGCGGUAAU